This 675-nucleotide ribosomal RNA is filed under the name Triticum aestivum (bread wheat). RNAcentral describes it as "partial small subunit ribosomal RNA". The record is from RNAcentral. Lineage: Eukaryota; Viridiplantae; Streptophyta; Magnoliopsida; Poales; Poaceae.
AUGGCCUCAACCGGAGUUUCGCGUAGGUCGUCCAUCAUGGCGUCCCGGCUGAGCGCGUCUGCAGAGGCCAUGCGCGCGAGCGAGGGGGGGAAGCAGCGACACGCCGUGCUGGCGCGGCGGGUGGAGUACGACGAGGAGUCUCUGGCCGGUGAACCCCAAUACGACGUGUUCAUCAACCACCGCGGCGUGGACACGAAGCGGACGGUGGCGCGCCUGCUCUACGACCGCCUCGCGCAGAGCGGCAUCCGCGGCUUCCUGGACAACAUGUCGAUGCGGCCGGGCGACCGGCUCAGGGAGACGAUCAGCGCCGGAAUCAGCGAAUGCAGCGUCGCCGUUGCCAUCUUCUCCCCGAGCUACUUCGACUCGGAGUACUGCCUGUGGGAGCUCGCCACGCUCGUAGAGUCACGCAAGACCAUCAUCCCCAUCUUCUACAACAUCAAGCCCUCCGACCUCGUGCUCCCCGAGGCCCUCGCCGCCUCCGACGACUACCUCCCGCAAGACGUCGAGCGCUACAAGUACGCGCUCCGCGAGGCCAAGAACACCGUCGGCCUCACCUACGACUCGGCCACAGGGGACAUAGCCGAGCUGGUGUCAGCGGCAGCCGACGCGGUGCUGUACCACAUGGAAAAAAUGGUGAGAGUGCAGAGGAGGGAAACGAUCGUUUCAAGGCUCUAA